AAGUCGUAACAAGGUCUCCGUAGGUGAACCUGCGGAGGGAUCAUUAACACUAUUUGACUAGGAUCGCUGAGUAUCUCGAAAGAGGGAAAACGUGAUGUUAGUUCAGAUUUUCACAAACCUGUCGAACUCGGUUACCUUUGUGUAACCAAUCUCCGCUGUUUCUUCCAAGUAGGUUGUUGUAGUGACGAAGUGAGCCACUCUCGUAACACUUUUGUGUUAUUUGAAUGGCGACUGGGCAACUUUUCUUUGAAACGGUCAAAUUUUUGGUGACGUUACACUUCUAAACGUCUCGUCCCCCUUUGCCAAUUUUCACCCUAAUUAAGCCAUAUAGACUGAUUUAACGAAGUAUAUCGAAAGGUGUAUCUUCGUCAACGAUAUAAAACUAAGCACAACUCUUAGCAACGGAUAUCUUGGUUCUC
Molecule: unclassified non-coding RNA, 419 nt
Filed under: fungal sp.
Lineage: Eukaryota; Fungi
Description: partial internal transcribed spacer region
Rfam family: Eukaryotic small subunit ribosomal RNA (bases 1-46)
Source: RNAcentral